RNAcentral lists this ribosomal RNA (465 nucleotides) under Vreelandella stevensii. RNAcentral describes it as "partial 16S ribosomal RNA". It matches the Rfam family "Bacterial small subunit ribosomal RNA", at positions 338 to 795 of the family's 1533-position model. Lineage: Bacteria; Pseudomonadati; Pseudomonadota; Gammaproteobacteria; Oceanospirillales; Halomonadaceae. The record is from RNAcentral.
CCUACGGGCGUCUGCAGUGGGGAAUAUUGGACAAUGGGCGAAAGCCUGAUCCAGCCAUGCCGCGUGUGUGAAGAAGGCCUUCGGGUUGUAAAGCACUUUCAGUGGGGAAGAAAGCCUUGGGGCUAAUACCCUCGAGGAAGGACAUCACCCACAGAAGAAGCACCGGCUAACUCCGUGCCAGCAGCCGCGGUAAUACGGAGGGUGCGAGCGUUAAUCGGAAUUACUGGGCGUAAAGCGCGCGUAGGCGGUCUGAUAAGCCGGUUGUGAAAGCCCCGGGCUCAACCUGGGAACGGCAUCCGGAACUGUCAGGCUAGAGUGCAGGAGAGGAAGGUAGAAUUCCCGGUGUAGCAGUGAAAUGCGUAGAGAUCGGGAGGAAUACCAGUGGCGAAGGCGGCCUUCUGGACUGACACUGACGCUGAGGUGCGAAAGCGUGGGUAGCAAACAGGAUUAGAUACCCGUGUAGUC